AGAAUAUAUUAUUUAAAGAGCAAAUUGAUCGGUUGAAAGAACAGGAGAAGUACCUAAGGAAGGAGAACACAGAAUUGAGAAAACAGUGUGAAAUGCUGCCGCUUCAACUGUCGAUUAUUCCAACGGCGCAAACACCGGCUCAAGCUGAGGAGGUGGAAACCGCUUUGUUCAUAUGAUUUUCCGAAAGUCGAAUAAAGAAAGAUGAACGUAACUAAUUUAAUCUGCAAUAUAUAUAAAUGCUCGUAUUCUUCAGCUUGUUACAUGUAUAUUUCGAUCGAUUUCGAGUUCAGAUGAGUGUGUGUUUGUUUGCAACCUUGAAAAAGAAAUUUGCGAUUAUUCAUCUAUUUGUAUUAGACAUGAUGCAAGUAUAGAAGGAAAGA
This is a non-coding RNA of Erythranthe guttata (spotted monkey flower), 380 nucleotides long. The record is from RefSeq and is a predicted model, not a curated record. NCBI's taxonomy places the organism in Eukaryota, Viridiplantae, Streptophyta, Magnoliopsida, Lamiales, Phrymaceae.